AAACGGUGAAACGGUGGGAAGCAAUCAAUCAUGAAGUCAAUUAGGUUUCACUGCUUCAUUAUAAUGAUCAUUGCUUCAUUAUUGAUAGUUGAAACCCAAGAUUCAUCAAUUGAAAUCGAUUGAAACGCCCGAUUGAAUAUUUCAUCCCUUCCAUUUGAUUCUUGCACCACACAUAAAUCUACCAUCACCGAUAUCUAUUUCCAGAAGACAUAUCAAGAAUCAAGUCAACAGGGUCAACAACGAAGCUCUCCUGCUUCGAAAUUAAAAAUGGAUUCACAUGCUGGUUUACUAAUAGUGGAUCUUCGUUUUGGUGAUGUCAUUGAUGACGCGGCUCGAUACUUUAAGUAUGCAUAUGACAGAGUUGGAUUUGCUGUUGGACUCUUGGAGUGAACUCUGUUCUCAAGUUAGCGCAGCCGCCUCUGGUAGCCACAGUUUGAGAAACAUGUCAUUUUGGAACGACUGAGUAUGGAUGGCCUGCUAACUCUUUCUUUGUCUUUUUUUCAUAACUAAGAAUGCAUUAGUUAUGAUUACAGAAACCAAUAUUAUAACAAUGAUAAUCUGACUCUUUCAAUAAACUAUUUCGGACCUGCAACUUUAAACCCAUUUGAUCCCUUCUCCUUUUAACUGCAUUUUAAUUUUUUAUAUGAUCCCUUUGAGACAAUGUGCAACUCAAUUCAUAAGUAAACAGGUUGAAAUUGCCACCUAACAAGUCAAAUGGGUUGUGUUUAAAUAAUUAGCUACAUGGGGAACGGGUCAAACGGUUAAAAGUACCCGCAAUGUCUAAUUUUUAAUGCAUAUCAAGUUGUUUUUAGCCAAGGAUUUAGUUUAUUAUUAUAAUAUAUGUUUUUAUAAAUUAUAGUGGGUAUUGGGAAUUGUUUAUUAUACUGUUUUGAGAUUGCUUAUCCAAAGUUAUAAUUUGAUUAUUUGUGAUUCAAAUAAGUUGGUUUAAAUAAGCAGUGUGAAGUUUCUUUUUCCAAACUCUCAAUAAGCAAACUGAAGAAACACGGAUUCACCGCCGGGGUGAUUGUGACCGCUUUCUCUAAGAGGAUGGAGAAUCACACCUUGUUUUUCCUCUUGAACCUAGAUCUGCAAUGAAGAAGAUAGAAAAGUGGGGAUGUAGAGAUUGCCGGUAGGAGAAGAAUCCCUUAUUCCAGCUACAAAAAGUGUGACGGCUCCAUAUCUUGUGCCCUAAUAAUGAGCAUUGAUGAUGCAAAGAGGAUAAUUGAUCUUGUUACAGGCAUUCCUUGCAAAAUCAACCUCAGCACAUUCAACCCGCAUAGUGGGUCCCGCUUCCAACCCUCAACAGAUAAUGAUCGAGUUUAGAAAUACGCAGACUGAAAGUGGUUGCCCUGUGUUCAGGAGACUGAGUAGGAUUGAUGGUCAAAUGGCUGCCUAUUGUCAACUCGGUAACCCAGGUGAUUAACAAGCACCUUUCCUCAAAGUCCUACCAAGUCUUUUGAAACUUUUGCGAUAUCCCUUGGUGUAAACGUAUUAACUUGUACAUCAUGUUUUAAGUGUGGUGUGUUUGUUUGAAUGA
Molecule: long non-coding RNA, 1537 nt
Filed under: Helianthus annuus (common sunflower)
Lineage: Eukaryota; Viridiplantae; Streptophyta; Magnoliopsida; Asterales; Asteraceae
Source: RNAcentral